RNAcentral lists this unclassified non-coding RNA (414 nucleotides) under Hevea brasiliensis (rubber tree). Lineage: Eukaryota; Viridiplantae; Streptophyta; Magnoliopsida; Malpighiales; Euphorbiaceae. The record is from RNAcentral.
GUGUUUUAGCGCCAUACCGAGGGUUAGGCAUUGGUACAAGACUGUUGAAUCAUGUUCUUGAUCUCUGCUCCAAGCAAAAUAUAUCUGAGAUUUACUUGCAUGUGCAGACAAACAAUGAGGAUGCCAUCAACUUUUAUAAGAAAUUUGGAUUUGAAAUCACAGAUACCAUCCAGCACUAUUACACAAACAUUACACCACCUGACUGCUAUGUUCUUAUCAAAUUCAUCACUUGUCAGACGAAUAAAUGAUGUUGCAAAGUUCACAGUGAAGUUGGCAAUCGUUGGUUUUUCAUGCGGUUUAUUGGGCUGAACUUGGGAUUACUUGCACGGGGGACAUCAUAAUCUGAUUGGUGAAAUGACUUCUAACAGUUCUAUAAUGGUCUGUUAGACCAAUGACCUAUAAAUCAUUUAAUAG